AACGGGUGAGUAACGCGUUGGUGAUCCUACCCCAAAGUGUGGGUAUAACAGUCCGAAAGGAUUGCUAAUACCGCAUGUGGUUAUUGGAUUUAGAAGCCGGUAACUAAAGGAGCAAUUCGCUUUGGGAGGGACCUGCGUCCCAUCAGCUAGUUGGUGAGGUAAUGGCUCACCAAGGCUACGACGGGUAGGGGACCUGAGAGGGUGACCCCCCACAAUGGAACUGAAACACGGUCCAUACACCUACGGGUGGCAGCAGUAGGGAAUAUUGCACAAUGGGCGAAAGCCUGAUGCAGCAACGCCGCGUGUGUGAUGAAGGCCUUCGGGUCGUAAAGCACUUUUCUGGGAGAUGAGAAAGGACAGUAUCCCAGGAAUAAGUCUCGGCUAACUACGUGCCAGCAGCCGCGG
This 405-nucleotide ribosomal RNA is filed under the name uncultured bacterium. RNAcentral describes it as "bacterial SSU rRNA". It matches the Rfam family "Bacterial small subunit ribosomal RNA", at positions 101 to 520 of the family's 1533-position model. The record is from RNAcentral.